Molecule: long non-coding RNA, 628 nt
Organism: Drosophila rhopaloa
Lineage: Eukaryota; Metazoa; Arthropoda; Insecta; Diptera; Drosophilidae
Exons: 2
Source: RefSeq, a predicted model, not a curated record
AGCCUACCGAUGUCUACGAAGUCAACCAAGCAAUUGUGCACCAUUUAUACACGGAAAACGAUGGUCAGAAUGAUAUAGGACUGCUUAAGCUCCCGAUAGACAUUAUCUUUAAUCAAAACGUUCGGCCAAUUUGCAUUUUCAUGGACGAGAGACUUAAGACAAAUGUUACCAGUGUACGGACGUUUAAAAGUUUUCGCUGGGAAAGAGAACUUCUUCGAAAGAUAACCGUUCACCAGUUAGAUCGAGCUGAGUGCGAAAAGGACUUGAAUGUGAAGUGCAGUUCUAAGCAAAUAUGUACUGGUGAUCCCAACGGGGAUUCGGCCUGUGGCGAUUAUGGUGGUCCUUUAACCGCAACUCUCUCUUUUAAUAAUAGAUUUCUUGAAGCGCAGUUAGGGAUCGUUAGCAGGUGCGGCUAUCUAGCAAUAUAUACCGAUGUGUCAAGCUAUGUGGACUGGAUUGGCGAACAAGUGAAUAAGGCAGAAUAGUCAUAGAAGAACCAAUGCUCCCACCUGGGAAAACGAAGUCCUAAGCCCAUCCAAAUAUUCUAAUAAAACGACUUUAUUUUGAUAUGUUUAAAAACAAUGAAGCAUUGUAAAUUUUUCAAUAAACUUUGGCAGAAAAAAAACGA